RNAcentral lists this long non-coding RNA (692 nucleotides) under Numida meleagris (helmeted guineafowl). RNAcentral's name for it is "lncRNA (ENSNMEG00000017858.1)". Lineage: Eukaryota; Metazoa; Chordata; Aves; Galliformes; Numididae. The record is from RNAcentral.
AUAACACGCAGUGCCUGCUCAGCACAUUUCAUCACCAUCCAUUCCGUUUGCUGCUGCCUCCUGAGGCAGUUCAGCCGUCUGGGAGAUCUUUCUGCUUUUUCUGCAACUUCUCCUGGUUUCCCUCUGCUUUGGGACGCACCGAGCCCUUUAGGGGCUGCCUUCCGAGCUCGGGGCUGUGCAGCCCGCGCCCAGCUUCGCGCUGAUGGCCGCUCGCGCGCGUGCCUGCGUGGAGCAGAGCACCUGGCGGCCCGCGGUGCACGCGGCGCCCGCCCUCAGCGCUUGUCCCGCCCUGCCCGCCCCCAGCGAGCGCCCUCAUGGGCGGCCGGUCCGAGGCAGCCCCCGCCGGGGCGCUGCCGGGUUCCGUAUCUCCCCGUCUGUGCGUGUUUUCGGUCAAACCUGAGCAGAGAGGUUCCGCACCCCGGCCGCUGGCACGGGCUGAGUAGCGGAGUGCUCUCGCAGGUGCUGCUCGUUUCUCCAAGGCAGAGCGGCUGGAGCCUUCUGGAAGGUGAAGGCAGCGAAUUUCUGUAUGAAUAGUCACCAGUCUUGAAGAGAAAAGAAGAGAAGGCUGUGUGUGCUUGCACUUCAAAGAAAAGCAAAAUGCUCACCCUUCCGCCAGUACCCCCGAAGGAGGAUGAGCCUAUAGUUGAAGGUAAGUCUUCAUCACUUCUUUGAGAAAGAACAAGGAAGACAGA